Molecule: ribosomal RNA, 885 nt
Filed under: Triticum aestivum (bread wheat)
Lineage: Eukaryota; Viridiplantae; Streptophyta; Magnoliopsida; Poales; Poaceae
Description: partial small subunit ribosomal RNA
Source: RNAcentral
AUGGACGACAGGAUUCCGCCGCCGUCUCACCUGCAGCAGUACUCGCAGUCCCCUGUCCAUUCUUCGCCUCAUCACCACCACCUCAAUUCCAUGAGGUACUCUGCCUCGUCUGAUAGAGAAAGGUAUCUGGCUGAGUUGCUUGCUGAGAGGCAGAAGUUAGGCCCAUUCAUUCAAGUUCUUCCCUACUGCACCAGGCUCUUGAACCAAGAGAUUUUGCGGGCAUCUUCUUUGCCGCCUAACCAUAAUUUUGUUGAUGCUGAGAGAAUUGAGCAUGGUAGCCCAUUAAGGUUACCUGGCCACCCAGUGAAUGGUCAACCAAUGGAUCUGGAGGGAUGGUCAGGAAGGCAAGCAGAGCAUAUGGGGGUUCUGCAAGCAUCACCAAUGAGCUGGAAUGGUGCUCCAGCACUUGGCGGUACUCCUGUUGUCAAGAAACUUGUGAGGCUAGAUGUUCCUGUGGACAAGUAUCCUAACUUCAACUUUGUUGGCCGUCUAUUGGGGCCACGAGGAAACUCCCUGAAAAGAGUUGAAGCUACGACUCAAUGCAGAGUUUAUAUUCGUGGGCGUGGAUCAGUUAAAGACUCUGUGAAGGAAGAGAAGCUGAGAGAUAAGCCUGGAUAUGAGCACCUCAAUGAGGCACUGCACGUGCUUGUGGAAGCAGAGUUCCCAGCAGACAUUAUUGAUGUGCGUCUAAACCAGGCUGUGACCAUCCUGGAAGAUCUUCUCAAACCAAUGGAUGAGUCCAUGGACUACUACAAGAAGCAGCAGCUGAGAGAGCUGGCCAUCCUGAACGGCACUCUGAGGGAGGAAAGCCCAAGCCCCCACCUUAGCCCAAGCGUGUCCCCCUUUAACUCCGCCGGGAUGAAGCGUCCGAAAACGGGGCGGUGA